GGGGAAUAUUGCGCAAUGGGCGAAAGCCUGACGCAGCGACGCCGCGUGAGGGACGAAGGUCUUCGGAUUGUAAACCUCUUUCAGCAGGGACGAAGCGAAAGUGACUGUACCUGCAGAAGAAGCACCGGCUAACUACGUGCCAGCAGCCGCGGUAAUACGUAGGGUGCAAGCGUUGUCCGGAUUUAUUGGGCGUAAAGAGCUCGUAGGCGGUCUGUCGCGUCGGAUGUGAAAACCCAAUGGCUUAACCUUGGGCCUGCAUUCGAUACGGGCAGACUAGAGUGUGGUAGGGGAAACUGGAAUUCCUGGUGUAGCGGUGGAAUGCGCAGAUAUCAGGAGGAACACCGAUGGCGAAGGCAGGUUUCUGGGCCAUAACUGACGCUGAGGAGCGAAAGCGUGGGGAGCAAAC
Molecule: ribosomal RNA, 406 nt
Filed under: uncultured bacterium
Lineage: Bacteria
Description: bacterial SSU rRNA
Rfam family: Bacterial small subunit ribosomal RNA
Source: RNAcentral